UGCGUAGGCGGUGCGGUAAGUCUUCUGUGAAACCUACCGGGCCUUAACUCGGAGCCGUGCAGGGGAAACUGCCGUGCUGGAGUAUGGGAGAGGUGAGUGGAAGUUCCCGGUGUAGCGGUGAAAUGCGUAGAUAUCGGGAGGAACACCUGUGGCGAAAGCGGCUCACUGGACCAUUACUGACGCUGAUGCACGAAAGCUAGGGGAGCAAACAGGAUUAGAUACCCUGGUAGUCCUAGCCCUAAACGAUGAUCGCUUGGUGUGACAGGUACCCAAUCCUGUCGUGCCGGAGCUAACGCGUUAAGCGAUCCGCCUGGGGAGUACGGUCGCAAAGGCUAGAA
RNAcentral lists this ribosomal RNA (338 nucleotides) under uncultured bacterium. RNAcentral describes it as "bacterial SSU rRNA". It matches the Rfam family "Bacterial small subunit ribosomal RNA", at positions 568 to 899 of the family's 1533-position model. The record is from RNAcentral.